RNAcentral lists this small RNA (271 nucleotides) under Vigna angularis var. angularis. RNAcentral describes it as "Non-protein coding transcript". The record is from RNAcentral. Lineage: Eukaryota; Viridiplantae; Streptophyta; Magnoliopsida; Fabales; Fabaceae.
GACCCUCCUUUUUCGGUUUUGAGUGAAUUUCUUUUUUUUAGAGGGACCAUGGUUGUCCCUUGAGUAGAUUAUUUAAGAGAGAGAUAAUAGGGUUCUGCACUUGGGUUGUGAGGGUACUGAGUUGCAGAGAAAAGAGUGAUCCGUAAGAGAGUGUUCUAGAGGUCCUUGGAGCAAGGUGCUGCCCAGAUUUGUGGUGAAGGAUUCAAGGUGUUCCAAGGAGGUCUUCAAGAGAUGUUAUUGCAGAUGUGAUGGCUGAUAUUUCUGAACAUGC